Molecule: long non-coding RNA, 2306 nt
Organism: Triticum aestivum (bread wheat)
Lineage: Eukaryota; Viridiplantae; Streptophyta; Magnoliopsida; Poales; Poaceae
Exons: 3
Source: RefSeq, a predicted model, not a curated record
CCCACGUAGUCCUCUAUUUCAUUUGAAGCAGUGCCUUGCGAUAUCCCGAAAAGAAAAAAAAUGCCACGCCUCGUGAACCCUAAUGGAGGAGACGAUGAUGGCUGAUGGCGUGGCGGCGGCGCCUUCCCCGACGACAACGGCGAGCCACCACGUUCUCGGCCAUCUGGAUAAGAUAUGGCGAACCAUCACGUUCCCGGCGAUCUGGAUGAGCACCAUGGUAGCGGCGCUUCCCCCUCCCCCGAUCUUGAACUCAAGCGGCAGAGUCCACCAUGACUUGCGGCGCUGCUGGUAGAACCGGGGUCCCCAGGCGAGGAAGAGGGCCGUCAUGCUUCCACCCUCCCUUCACUUCUGUUGUUUUGUCUGCAGGUAUCGUAUGAUUUCGUUGCCAUCCAUCGCACUCAGAUGCUCUCAGAUCCGUUAAUCUCUUCUGGGGAAAAGAGAAGAAAGCGUGAAGGUUGAUCUCUAAUAUUUGAACAUAUGGCUUUUGGUCAAAUGAUCUUCUGUAUGUCUUUCACGCCAGAAAAGCGAAGGCCGACCACUCUUCACUUCAACUGCAGCAUCCAUGGAUCCUAGAUAGAUUAGCAUGUCUCCUGGUGAUUCCUUUUGCUCCUUCCUUUCACGUGGAUCAAGUACAUCUUAGGCUCUUCUCCCCAUAUUUUGUUAUUUCUGACCAGUAUAUUAGGCAAAUAUGCAAAAGCCCUUCGGAUGAAACAAAUCGUGCACUGGAAAGUGAUUGCCCACGUGCCACCACAAACCUAAUUAUGGACAACAUCAUAGAGACAGAUGACGCAAAGUACAUGAUUACAGGCUUGCUACAACUUCACAAACAGCUUCCUUGAAAGAUUCCUAAGAAAUAUCGUUAUGUUAGGUGAAGCAAAUGAACCACAUUAAUUGUCAGUUUCCUACAAAUCAAAAUAUCAGAAUCAGCUGUUUCAGUGGAGUAAUCAAAAAUCGUUUUAGUCCAGUACACCGAGCCUAUAUUCCAGCAACAAAACAAGUAAAAAUACUUGCAGGGCUACAAAGCUUGCACACGCAGUUUUGUUGGAUUCCACUGUUGGCAUUUUUACAAUGGAUUCAGGGCAUUUGAGUGCAUAUGGAAUAUAAAAUUUGGUACUAUAUAAUGUGUGCGUUCAAAUUAUAUAUCUCCUUUCAAUGUGCUAACAAUCUGCUUCAUGAUAAUUUUCCAAGAGAUGAACUCAAAUGCGCAUUAUCUGCUGACAUAAGGUGACACCUCUUGGUAGGGGGUUACUUGUCACCGUCAGCUUUCUUCGUAGUACAGUUUGGGUAUAUGGUAAUAAUAACUUGCCAUGUGCUAUUACGCUAAUAAAUAAUUUCUCAUUUUGCAUUGGUUAUGCUUUCUUGGUCGCCACCUCAAUUUGAGAGAUGCAUCGUCACAAAUUGGCAUUAAUAUUUUCUCGUACAAAUUUGCACUCCUCCAGCUCCACAUUUAUUGUCACUUUUGUCGGUUUUGCAGUCCAUUUACUUCUAAACACGGUAAUCUCUCAAGACGGAACGAAUGCGAGUAUGGCAGGUUGUGUCCGAACUUUGUACGACAGAGGAUUGAAUGGUAUUGUCCAGUUCUGCUCUACGCACAGACGGCUUAAUGUGAUGUGUUGUACACUUGACUAAUGAAUUUGCCAUGUGUAUAACAUUAUUCCUCUCAAAAUUCAUGUCUUUGGUUUAUACCGUAAUAUGACAGCUGCCUCAAAGAAACCAUGCAAGAGUUUGUGAGUUUAUACUAUUUGGCUACAAAUAUUACAUGAAUGCCAGCUAUGUCAACAUCAAGAUUGUCUAUUGCAGAAUAUGUGGUCAAAUCGUCAUCCCCACUCUAUUCAGAAGUUUGCAGUCAUCGAGUUCGUUGAUGCUUAGUCAACAAUAUGUCAGAAGUAGCACUUAGAUGGUGUAGCAAUACUUGCUCAAAGAGCCAUAUUUUCAAGUGACAAGCACACAUAUGGAAGGAAGUCAAGCACAAAUAAGGAAGGAACAAAAGAUCCACAUACUCUGUAGACAUGUUUUGAAGGUACAAUCACAGGUCACGGAAGUAGUGCUAUUGGUGGUUGCAAAAUCCAUGUGAUGUUGAUCAAAGCUUUUCAAUCUUCUUGCUCUAUAUGUCUAAUCAUACGCUGGCAAACUGAUAGAUGUUUGCUAGAUUAACAUUUUUUUAUUUGUGCCUGCCUAUGUAUGUGCAAAAAUGAUGAUAGUGUGGAAAUGUGAGAACAAGAGCUUGAUAUGAGAUAAUCCUCACUCAUACUAUAGUUCAUUUAUGAGAACGUAAAUUCAGCUUUUUUACUUUGUUCCUGUCGACA